UACGAAGGGGGCUAGCGUUGUUCGGAUUUACUGGGCGUAAAGCGCACGUAGGCGGAUCUUUAAGUCAGAGGUGAAAUCCCAAGGCUCAACCUUGGAACUGCCUUUGAUACUGGGGAUCUUGAGUCCGGGAGAGGUGAGUGGAACUGCGAGUGUAGAGGUGAAAUUCGUAGAUAUUCGCAAGAACACCAGUGGCGAAGGCGGCUCACUGGCCCGAUACUGACGCUGAGGCACGAAAGCGUGGGGGAGCAAACAGG
RNAcentral lists this ribosomal RNA (254 nucleotides) under uncultured bacterium. RNAcentral's name for it is "partial 16S ribosomal RNA". It matches the Rfam family "Bacterial small subunit ribosomal RNA", at positions 524 to 776 of the family's 1533-position model. The record is from RNAcentral.